This 668-nucleotide ribosomal RNA is filed under the name Escherichia coli. Its description in RNAcentral is "partial 23S ribosomal RNA". It matches the Rfam family "Bacterial large subunit ribosomal RNA", at positions 2263 to 2925 of the family's 2925-position model. The record is from RNAcentral. Lineage: Bacteria; Pseudomonadati; Pseudomonadota; Gammaproteobacteria; Enterobacterales; Enterobacteriaceae.
GGGUAGUUUGACUGGGGCGGUCUCCUCCUAAAGAGUAACGGAGGAGCACGAAGGUUGGCUAAUCCUGGUCGGACAUCAGGAGGUUAGUGCAAUGGCAUAAGCCAGCUUGACUGCGAGCGUGACGGCGCGAGCAGGUGCGAAAGCAGGUCAUAGUGAUCCGGUGGUUCUGAAUGGAAGGGCCAUCGCUCAACGGAUAAAAGGUACUCCGGGGAUAACAGGCUGAUACCGCCCAAGAGUUCAUAUCGACGGCGGUGUUUGGCACCUCGAUGUCGGCUCAUCACAUCCUGGGGCUGAAGUAGGUCCCAAGGGUAUGGCUGUUCGCCAUUUAAAGUGGUACGCGAGCUGGGUUUAGAACGUCGUGAGACAGUUCGGUCCCUAUCUGCCGUGGGCGCUGGAGAACUGAGGGGGGCUGCUCCUAGUACGAGAGGACCGGAGUGGACGCAUCACUGGUGUUCGGGUUGUCAUGCCAAUGGCACUGCCCGGUAGCUAAAUGCGGAAGAGAUAAGUGCUGAAAGCAUCUAAGCACGAAACUUGCCCCGAGAUGAGUUCUCCCUGACUCCUUGAGAGUCCUGAAGGAACGUUGAAGACGACGACGUUGAUAGGCCGGGUGUGUAAGCGCAGCGAUGCGUUGAGCUAACUGGUACUAAUGAACCGUGAGGCUUAACCUU